CAGUAGCCACGGUAAUACGAAGGGUGCAAGCGUUAAUCGGAAUUACUGGGCGUAAAGCGUGCGUAGGCGGUGAGUUAAGUCUGCUGUGAAAUCCCCGGGCUCAACCUGGGAAUGGCAGUGGAUACUGGCUCGCUAGAGUGUGUCAGAGGAUGGUGGAAUUCCCGGUGUAGCGGUGAAAUGCGUAGAGAUCGGGAGGAACAUCAGUGGCGAAGGCGGCCAUCUGGGACAACACUGACGCUGAGGCACGAAAGCGUAGGGAGCAAACAGGAUUAGAUACCCGCGUAGUCCCUGUCUCUUAUAC
RNAcentral lists this ribosomal RNA (301 nucleotides) under uncultured bacterium. RNAcentral describes it as "partial 16S ribosomal RNA". It matches the Rfam family "Bacterial small subunit ribosomal RNA", at positions 509 to 807 of the family's 1533-position model. The record is from RNAcentral.